GAUGAACGCUGACAGAAUGCUUAACACAUGCAAGUCGAUGGGGAAGUGGUGCUUGCACCAUGGCAACCAUGGCGGACGGGUGAGUAACGCGUAAGGGACUUACCUGCAGGACUGGGAUAACAGGGGGAAACUCCUGACAAGACCGGAUAAUGUCAUGGAGCCGCAUGGCUUUAUGAUGAAAGGAGACGCCUGCGGAGAGCCUUGCGUCCUAUUAGCUAGUUGGUGAGGUAAUGGCUCACCAAGGCGAAGAUAGGUAGCCGGCCUGAGAGGGUGGACGGCCACAAGGGGACUGAGAUACGGCCCUUACUCCUACGGGAGGCAGCAGUGGGGAAUAUUGGACAAUGGGGGCAACCCUGAUCCAGCAAUUCUGUGUGCACGAAGAAGGUUUUCGGAUUGUAAAGUGCUUUCAGCAGGGAAGAAGUAAGUGACGGUACCUGCAGAAGAAGCGACGGCUAAAUACGUG
RNAcentral lists this ribosomal RNA (463 nucleotides) under uncultured bacterium. RNAcentral's name for it is "partial 16S ribosomal RNA". It matches the Rfam family "Bacterial small subunit ribosomal RNA", at positions 28 to 507 of the family's 1533-position model. The record is from RNAcentral.